Molecule: ribosomal RNA, 497 nt
Filed under: uncultured bacterium
Lineage: Bacteria
Description: partial 16S ribosomal RNA
Rfam family: Bacterial small subunit ribosomal RNA
Source: RNAcentral
GAUGAACGCUGGCGGCGUGCCUAAUACAUGCAAGUCGAGCGAACGGACGAGAAGCUUGCUUCUCUGAUGUUAGCGGCGGACGGGUGAGUAACACGUGGAUAACCUACCUAUAAGACUGGGAUAACUUCGGGAAACCGGAGCUAAUACCGGAUAAUAUUUUGAACCGCAUGGUUCAAAAGUGAAAGACGGUCUUGCUGUCACUUAUAGAUGGAUCCGCGCUGCAUUAGCUAGUUGGUAAGGUAACGGCUUACCAAGGCAACGAUGCAUAGCCGACCUGAGAGGGUGAUCGGCCACACUGGAAGUGAGACACGGUCCAGACUCCGACGGGAGGCAGCAGUAGGGAAUCUUCCGCAAUGGGCGAAAGCCUGACGGAGCAACGCCGCGUGAGUGAUGAAGGUCUUCGGAUCGUAAAACUCUGUUAUUAGGGAAGAACAUAUGUGUAAGUAACUGUGCACAUCUUGACGGUACCGAAUCAGAAAGCCACGGCUAACUACGUG